This 460-nucleotide ribosomal RNA is filed under the name uncultured bacterium. Its description in RNAcentral is "partial 16S ribosomal RNA". It matches the Rfam family "Bacterial small subunit ribosomal RNA", at positions 338 to 795 of the family's 1533-position model. The record is from RNAcentral.
CCUACGGGUGGCAGCAGUGAGGAAUAUUGGUCAAUGGGCGGGAGCCUGAACCAGCCAAGUCGCGUGAGGGAAGACGGUCCUAUGGAUUGUAAACCUCUUUAGGCGGGGAGCAAUGCCGGGCACGUGUGCCCGGAGGGAGAGUACCCGCAGAAUAAGCAUCGGCUAACUCCGUGACAGCAGCCGCGGUAAUACGGAGGAUGCGAGCGUUAUGCGGAUUUAUUGGGUUUAAAGGGUGCGUAGGCGGAUUUUUAAGUGAGCGGUAAAAGGUCCGGGCGCAACGCGGGCCGGCCGUUGAAACUGGGGAUCUUGAGUGGGCGAGAAGUAUGCGGAAUGCGUGGUGUAGCGGUGAAAUGCAUAGAUAUCACGCAGAACUCCGAUUGCGAAGGCAGCAUACCGGCGCCCGACUGACGCUGAGGCACGAAAGCGUGGGGAUCGAACAGGAUUAGAUACCCUUGUAGUC